UACAGAGGGUGCAAGCGUUAAUCGGAAUUACUGGGCGUAAAGCGCACGCAGGCGGUUUGUUAAGUCAGAUGUGAAAUCCCCGAGCUAAACUUGGGAACUGCAUUUGAAACUGGCAAGCUAGAGUCUUGUAGAGGGGGGUAGAAUUCCAGGUGUAGCGGUGAAAUGCGUAGAGAUCUGGAGGAAUACCGGUGGCGAAGGCGGCCCCCUGGACAAAGACUGACGCUCAGGUGCGAAAGCGUGGGGAGCAAACAGG
RNAcentral lists this ribosomal RNA (253 nucleotides) under uncultured bacterium. Its description in RNAcentral is "partial 16S ribosomal RNA". It matches the Rfam family "Bacterial small subunit ribosomal RNA", at positions 524 to 776 of the family's 1533-position model. The record is from RNAcentral.